Molecule: ribosomal RNA, 1253 nt
Filed under: Arthropoda environmental sample
Lineage: Eukaryota; Metazoa; Arthropoda
Description: SSU rRNA
Rfam family: Eukaryotic small subunit ribosomal RNA
Source: RNAcentral
UGCCAGUAGUCAUAUGCUUGUCUUAAAGAUUAAGCCAUGCAUGUCUCAGUGCAAGCUAAAUUAAAGUGAAACCGCGGAAGGCUCAUUAUAUCAGCUAUGGUUCCUUAGAUGGUACCAAAGUAUACUUGGAUAACUGUGGCAAUUCUAGAGCUAAUACAUGCAAAUAGAGUCCCUGCCUCCCAAGGCAGGGAUGCUUUUAUUAGAUCAAAACCAACCGGCCUUCGGGCUAGUUGCUCUUGGUGACUCUGACUAACUUUGGGCUGAUCGCACGGUCACGUACCGGCGACGCAUCUUUCAAAUGUCUGCCUUAUCAACUAUCGAUGGUAGGCUCUACGCCUACCAUGGUUGUAACGGGUGACGGGGAAUCAGGGUUCGAUUCCGGAGAGGGAGCCUGAGAGACAGCUACCACAUCCAAGGAAGGCAGCAGGCGCGCAAAUUACCCACUCCCGGCACGGGGAGGUAGUGACGAUAAAUAACGAUGCAGAACUCUUUCCGAGGCUCUGCAAUCGGAAUGAGCACACUCUAAAUCAUUUAACGAGUAUCCAUCGGAGGGCAAGCCUGGUGCCAGCAGCUGCGGUAAUUCCAGCUCCGAUAGCGUAUAUUAAAGUUGUUGCGGUUAAAAAGCUCGUAGUUGGAUCUGUGUUUCACUCUGUCGGUUCGUUGCCCGUCAACGUUUAACUGGCAUGCAAGUGGAACGUCCUGCCGGUUGGCAACGCGCGUCCGCAAGGGCGUGCGUGCGCCAGUUGGAUCCUGUCUAGGUCCUCUUCACCGAGAGUCGAGGCAGGCCGGCACGUUUACUUUGAACAAAUUUGAGUGCUUAAAGCAGGCUGUUACGCCUGAAAACUGGUUGCAUGGAAUAAUGGAAUAGGACCUCGGUUCUACUUUGUUGGUUUUCGGAGCCCGAGGUAAUGAUUAAUAGGGACGGGCGGGGGCAUUAGUAUUGCGACGUUAGAGGUGAAAUUCUAAGAUCGUCGCAGGACUAACCUAAGCGAAAGCAUUUGCCAAGGAUGCUUCCUUUAAUCAAGAACGAAAGUUAGAUGAUCGAAGGCGAUCAGAUACCGCCCUAGUUCUAACCAUAAACGAUGCCAGCCAGCAAUCCGUCGCUGUUCCUCCGAUGACUCGACGGGCAGCUUCCGGGAAACUUAAGCUUUUAGGUUCCGGGGGAAGUAUGGUUGCAAAGCUGAAACUUAAAGGAAUUGACGGAAGGGCACCACCAGGAGUGGAGCCUGCGGCUUAAUUUGACUCAACACGGG